This 465-nucleotide ribosomal RNA is filed under the name uncultured bacterium. Its description in RNAcentral is "partial 16S ribosomal RNA". It matches the Rfam family "Bacterial small subunit ribosomal RNA", at positions 28 to 507 of the family's 1533-position model. The record is from RNAcentral.
GACGAACGCUGGCGGCGUGCUUAACACAUGCAAGUCGAACGGUAAGGCUCCAGCUUGCUGGGGUACACGAGUGGCGAACGGGUGAGUAACACGUGGGUGACCUGCCCUGCACUUCGGGAUAAGCCUGGGAAACUGGGUCUAAUACCGGAUAGGACCGCACUGUGAGGGUGUGGUGGAAAGUUUUUUCGGUGUGGGAUGGGCCCGCGGCCUAUCAGCUUGUUGGUGGGGUAAUGGCCUACCAAGGCGGCGACGGGUAGCCGGCCUGAGAGGGUGGACGGCCACAUUGGGACUGAGACACGGCCCAGACUCCUACGGGAGGCAGCAGUGGGGAAUAUUGCACAAUGGGCGGAAGCCUGAUGCAGCGACGCCGCGUGGGGGAUGACGGCCUUCGGGUUGUAAACUCCUUUCACCAUCGACGAAGGGUUUCUGACGGUAGAUGGAGAAGAAGCACCGGCUAACUACGUG